Long non-coding RNA from Lotus japonicus, 827 nucleotides. RefSeq lists it as uncharacterized. The transcript has 3 exons. NCBI's taxonomy places the organism in Eukaryota, Viridiplantae, Streptophyta, Magnoliopsida, Fabales, Fabaceae. The record is from RefSeq and is a predicted model, not a curated record.
UCUUACGUGAUUAACUCCUUCUCAAACCCUCCUCUCCAAAUCCGUUGUUCCUCAUGCAAUCCUCUAAUCCGCUCGCAAAUCAGAUAUGAUGGAUUUGAAAUUGAAUUUUAAUUUUGCAUCUUGGGCGAAAUUUUGGGAAUUUACUCCUCCCCAACCCAAGAACUCCUCUCACCUCAAUAACUCCUUCGUCAUCAAUUCCUCUUUAAGUUUCAAUGGAAUCACAGAAAUUUGUAGAUUUUGGCAUGAUCAUAUUGUCAAGUACAUAAAUUCUCCAUGAGGAUCGGUUACAACUGGUGAAGAUUGGGGAGUUAGGUUUGACGACAAUUGUGGGGAAGAACCACUCUGCAUAUUCAGGUCUUGGGACACUAGAAUUUAUGCCACAUGAGUUAUAUGAAGAGGCCUAUCUACACAGUAAUUGUGGAAUACUCAUUUGGAAUGUGUGUUGGAGAUGGUGACACUAUAGAUUCCCGUGAGUGUGACAAUGUUGUCAAUAUAUACAAGAAGGUGUAUACAAGAAGGUGUCUUUAGAAGUGAGACCUCAUGGGAUAAAGGAUUCAAAGGUGAAGGCCUUCAUUGAGAAGUGUCUUGCUCAACCAGGGGCUUAGACCUCUGCCACUGAGUUGCUCGAAGACCAUUACAUGUCCUUUACUGUGAUGAAAACAAUGAUUCUAGAUAAUACUUUAUGUGUAAUUUUCUUCUCUUUUAUAGAGAAAAUUGAUUUAACUAUUUUUUAGUUGAUAAGUCAGUUUCAUCAGGGUAGGCUUGACGACAUAUUAGUGAUUUAAUUUAAUUUUCUUUCUUUGUAGGAGUGAACUUGAAGAUGAGUU